CGGGAUGUAACGCAGUUUGGUAGCGUGUCUGCUUUGGGAGCAGAAAGUCACAGGUUCGAAUCCUGUCAUCCCGA
This 74-nucleotide transfer RNA is filed under the name Synura petersenii. Its description in RNAcentral is "tRNA-Pro". It matches the Rfam family "tRNA". Rfam says of the family: Transfer RNA (tRNA) molecules are approximately 80 nucleotides in length. Their secondary structure includes four short double-helical elements and three loops (D, anti-codon, and T loops). Lineage: Eukaryota; Synurophyceae; Synurales; Mallomonadaceae. The record is from RNAcentral.